RNAcentral lists this ribosomal RNA (804 nucleotides) under Ramularia pararhabdospora. Its description in RNAcentral is "partial large subunit ribosomal RNA". It matches the Rfam family "Eukaryotic large subunit ribosomal RNA", at positions 87 to 922 of the family's 3401-position model. Lineage: Eukaryota; Fungi; Ascomycota; Dothideomycetes; Mycosphaerellales; Mycosphaerellaceae. The record is from RNAcentral.
CGGCGAGUGAAGCGGCAACAGCUCAAAUUUGAAAUCUGGCGCAAGCCCGAGUUGUAAUUUGUAGAGGAUGCUUCUAGGUAGCGACCGGUCUAAGUUCCUUGGAACAGGACGUCAUAGAGGGUGAGAAUCCCGUAUGUGACCGGCCCGCACCUUCUACGUAGCUCCUUCGACGAGUCGAGUUGUUUGGGAAUGCAGCUCUAAAUGGGAGGUAAAUUUCUUCUAAAGCUAAAUACCGGCCAGAGACCGAUAGCGCACAAGUAGAGUGAUCGAAAGAUGAAAAGCACUUUGGAAAGAGAGUUAAAAAGCACGUGAAAUUGUUGAAAGGGAAGCGCUUACAACCAGACUUCUGGGCGGUGUUCCGCCGGUCUUUUGACCGGUCUACUCGCCGUCCCGAGGCCAACAUCAUCUGGGACCGCUGGAUAAGACCUCAGGAAUGUAGCUUCCCUCGGGAAGUGUUAUAGCCUGUGGUGAUGCAGCGCGUCUCGGGUGAGGUCCGCGCUUCGGCAAGGAUGUUGGCGUAAUGGUUGUCAGCGGCCCGUCUUGAAACACGGACCAAGGAGUCUAACAUCUAUGCGAGUGUUCGGGUGUCAAACCCCUACGCGUAAUGAAAGUGAACGGAGGUGGGAAGGGUAACCUGCACCAUCGACCGAUCCUGAUGUCCUCGGAUGGAUUUGAGUAAGAGCAUAGCUGUUGGGACCCGAAAGAUGGUGAACUAUGCCUGAAUAGGGUGAAGCCAGAGGAAACUCUGGUGGAGGCUCGCAGCGGUUCUGACGUGCAAAUCGAUCGUCAAAUUUGGGUAUAGGG